RNAcentral lists this transfer RNA (73 nucleotides) under Umbilicaria muhlenbergii. RNAcentral's name for it is "tRNA-Val (TAC) (tRNA-Val-TAC-1-1)". It matches the Rfam family "tRNA". Rfam says of the family: Transfer RNA (tRNA) molecules are approximately 80 nucleotides in length. Lineage: Eukaryota; Fungi; Ascomycota; Lecanoromycetes; Umbilicariales; Umbilicariaceae. The record is from RNAcentral.
GGUCGCCUAGUCUAGCGGUUAUGAUUUCUCCUUUACACGGAGAAGGUCGCAGGUUCGAUCCCUGCGGCGACCA